CCAUCUAGAAUAGCACCUCCAGAAUGGAGGGGCAAAAAGAAUAAUUAAGCCUCCACACCCCAAAAGUAGGUGGAAGCAGGCCGCCCGAUGCCUCUGAGCAGAAGCUGGGUGGCCGGUGGUCAGGAGAGGACGGCUGGGGGCGGGGGGCUCUUCCACCUGGGGAGGAGGCGGCUUUAGGAGCAGGGUAGCGGCGCCUGCCCCAACCACACGAUGCGGGCUGCCGUCUGAGGAAACCAGGCUGGAAUCGGCGAGAACAGAGUUUAUUCAGGACUAUUGCAACAGGGGGAAGGAGACCUCGGAACAGAACUGGGCUCAGCUCUGAACACGGCACAGGCAGUGGGACCUGACAGCCGAGGAGCAGGUGGGGUGGAGGACAGAAAGCGACUAAGAGGAAACGUCCGGUGACGGGGAUUGGGCCAAACCCAGCUGCAGGAUUCUUGCUGAGGACAGGCCAGGGUGGCCAGACAUCACCUGGGGGUGGUGGGGACGGGGAUCAGACGCGGAGGGUGCUCAGACGCCGGGACGGGCGGGGAGCCUCCGUACAGGCUGCCUAGGCAGAGACUCUUUGUCCCCCUCACUGGCACCUGCCGACACCGACCACAGCAGGCACCAUGCCGGAAGCUUCGCCUGCUACUCAGCCCUGAUCUCUGUGGGCUGAUGGCCCCAGCAGCCAAGGGCUGACCUUGUGGCCUCCCCGUCUCUGGGGGAGGGACCCUGUUUCGCCCCCUUCUCUACUCCCCCUGGAGAGGGUCGCUGCCAGACGCCCACCUACCUGCACUAAGCCCUCCGGAGGCUUAUUUAUCCCGCCUUCACAGCCAUGAUGUGCAUGUCGGCCCCAUUUCACAAACAAGGCCACUGAAGCUUAGAAGGGUUAAAUAAUACAGCCAAGGCCACUCAGCCUGCAAGGGACAGAGCCAGGACCUGAGCCCCGGCCGUCAGAUUCCAGUGCAUCCUACGUGCAGCUGGAGCUCCAGGGCUGACUCCUCUGCCACCACCCCCAUGUCCCCGCUCGGCCGCUGACCAGCACUUGGGCCCGUCUGGGCAUAGCCGGUGUCCACGUCUCCGUGCCCCGCCCCCUCCCGUGGCCCCCCGAGCUGAGCCGCUGGCAGCUGGCCUGGGCGCAGUGGCCCAGCGUUCCGGAUCUACAGUUCGGGGACGGGAGGGAGGCGGCCAUAGCUGGCUCUGGGAGCUGGAGCUGGGUCGGGAACCAAAGGUCCGGAGGUCAGAAGUCUGAAUCGAGGUGUCAGCGGGAGGAGCCCUUCUUGCCUUCUAGCUCCCGGAGGCCUGGCAAGCCCCAGCAUUGCCUGGCUGCGAAUGCGUCAGUCAGUCCGAUGUCAGCCUCUGCCUGCGUGUGGCCGUCUUCCCUCUGUGCGUCGGGGUCCAAAUUUCCCUCUUCCUGUAAGGACAGCGGUCGCUGGAUUGGGGCCCACCCUGAUCUCGUAUGACCUCAGCUUGAUUAUAUCUGCAAAGACUUUUCGGCUGCCGUCACAUUCCCAGGUAGCGGGAGUUAGGACUCUUUUCGGGGGGACACGAUUUAGCCCAGAGCGUCCUCUAUAAAGUGCCUGGCCGUGGAAGGUGCUUGAUAACUGGGGGUGGUGGGUGCGCAGACAGAUCCAGAGUGAGCAAGAGAGGAGGAAUGCUGUGUACCCCUGGACAGACACACGCCCUCUCUGGGCUGCAGCCGUCCCAUUUGCAACACGGGAUAACAGAGCGUCUCCUUUCCCGGGUGUUAUGAGGGUUACCUGAGGUAACGCCCGCAAAGGACCUGGUGCCCGGAUGCUCAGGAAAUGCCAGUUCCCCCACGUGAAGAAACGGUGACGUCCGGGGGGCUUUGGUGGCUAAUGUCCCCCGUGGCUUUCUCUGGUGACUGGGAGAGAGGAGAAAUGGGGGCUAGUGGCGGUUGGGGAGGGCACAGUGCAUAGGCCGGUGUUUUUCAAAAGCCCGGGGGUCCUAGAGGAAGAGGGUUCGGCGAGCCGUUGACCUUGGAGUCUGCACGCGUGUGCGCCCACAGGCCAGAGCUCAGGACCAGGUGCUGGUGUCUGAGAGCCAGGCAAGGCCGCUGUCAGCGGGACAGGCCUGGCAGAAUGUUUCGUGCUGGAGUGAUUGGAAGUGACGGCGGGCUGGGUGGGGAACGAGCAGGGCGAGGGAGCCAGCGGCGUCUGCAGGCUCAAGCUGCAACGCAUUAGUCCGGCCGGCCGGGCGGGGGAGGGGCCGCGGGAAGGGGAAUUCUAUGGGGGGUGCUUCUAGACGGAAAGCAAGAAAGUAGGAACCCUAGGGAAGACCCUGGAAGCCAGAAGGUGGGUUGACAGGGAGGAGAGGGCAGUGGGGAUGGAGGGACUGAGCACCUCCACUGUGCAAUCCUGUGCAACCUCUAGGAGUAGAUGCUCUCACUGUGUCCAUUUUACAGAGGAGGAAACUGAGGCUGAGAGGGGAAGGUCCUUUUCUCUUGUCCUUUCGUCUCUGCCAUCACAUCUACCUGUCUUUUUCCUCUGUAUCUUUUCUUCUUCCUCCUUCAUCUGUGGUAGGCUGAAUAACGGCCCCCAAAUACAUGCAAAUCACACGCCCCUGAGAAUGUUCCCUUCUGUGGCGAGAGACUGUGCAGGUGUGAUUAAGGCGAAGCUCUUGAGAUGGGCCGGCGGCCCCAGAGUAUCUGGGCGAGCCUGAUAGGGUCCAAGGGAGGCGGGGGGAGGCAGAGGCAGAGGAGAAGGCACAUGGCGCCAGAGUGGAGGCCAGAGCUAUGACGGCGGAGGGAGAGGCCACAAGCCACAGGACACAGCCAGCAGCAGCAGCAGCCGGGGACGUUAAGGAAACUGAUUCUCCCCUGGAGCCUCCGGAAGGCGCAGCUGGCCAGCACCGUGACUGCAGCCGCGACACUCGUUUCAGAUCCCGACCGCACGCUGUGCGAGGACGAAUCUGUCUUGGCCUCAUCCCGAGGUCUGUGGUCGCUCGUUACAGCAGCAGCUCGAGGAAGCUGAUAGUGUCGUCCCCAGCUCGGUCCACACCUCCACCGCCUCCUCUUCCUGGCUCCCCUCCCCUCUCCUCCUACUCCUUCCGCUCCUCCCCCGCUACUGCUCCUCCUCAGUCUCAGCCCCGCCACACAAGAGCCUUUUGGAAUCUACAAGUUGGGUUCGAAUCCUGGCUCCGCCGCUGUUGACUGUGUGACUGAACAAGGCUGCCCUGUAAUCCCAGGCUCUACUGAGCUCGGCCAGAGACCGAGCGCCCAGCUGGUGGGACGGCGACCCCGCCCCAGACAGACAGACGGGGACCUUCACAGGCUCUCUGCCCACCUGGGUGGGGGAAGGGGCAGCUGGCAGACAGACACGGAGCUGGCUUCGCCUCUCUCUGCCCCCGUUCUCCAGCUCUUCUGUCUGGGACCCUUUGUGGGGCCAGGCAGAGUGUGAGUGACAGUUUCUCAGGAGCACUUGCUAAAGAUAUCCUCACACCUGGGACAACGGCAGUUGGCCCUGGAGCUGUCAGGGCUCCCAGCGCGCAGGUGGGCAGGCCCACAGCAGCCCUUCGCAGUCAGAGAAGACGGAACGUAAUUCCCCUUUGUUCUCCACGUCCAGGGGAGACCUCCCUCCCCAGCCCGUCCUGGAAAAUCUAGCCUCGUCUGUCUCCCCGCGGUUGCUGUUCCCCAGCAGAGCUCCGGCACGUCAGCCGGCAGAGGACGAGUCUCCUGAGGGGCCAUCAAAAGCGUGCCUGCAUCUUGGACAAACUUCAGGGAAGAAUACGGGUCCGGCUGCCAUCCUUGGAUCUCGGUUGGAAUGAUAAAGGGAAUAAUGAUAA
This is a non-coding RNA of Microcebus murinus (gray mouse lemur), 3786 nucleotides long. Lineage: Eukaryota; Metazoa; Chordata; Mammalia; Primates; Cheirogaleidae. The record is from RefSeq and is a predicted model, not a curated record.